UACGGAGGGUGCAAGCGUUAUCCGGAUUCACUGGGUUUAAAGGGUGCGUAGGAGGGUUGGUAAGUCAGCGGUGAAAUCUCCGAGCUUAACUUGGAAACUGCCGUUGAUACUAUCAAUCUUGAAUAUCGUGGAGGUGAGCGGAAUAUGUCAUGUAGCGGUGAAAUGCUUAGAUAUGACCCGGACCACCUAUUGCGAAGGCAGCAGGCUAAACAAAUAUUGACGCUGAGGCUCGAAAGCGUGGGGAUCAAACAGG
Molecule: ribosomal RNA, 253 nt
Filed under: uncultured bacterium
Lineage: Bacteria
Description: partial 16S ribosomal RNA
Rfam family: Bacterial small subunit ribosomal RNA
Source: RNAcentral